Neogale vison (American mink) is the source of this 778-nucleotide long non-coding RNA. RefSeq lists it as uncharacterized. The record is from RefSeq and is a predicted model, not a curated record. The transcript has 6 exons. Lineage: Eukaryota; Metazoa; Chordata; Mammalia; Carnivora; Mustelidae.
GUGGGGAGUAGGCGUAAAAAGGCUCGGCCUUACCGCAGAGAUUUGGGUCCCGGGCUUCCCCGCUCCGGGCCGGGACCUGGACCGCUGGCCCGUUGUCCGCUCCGCCACCGAGUCCGUUGGCGGCGGCCGCGUCCAGGGACCCGGCUCCCACUCCCAGGACUGCAGAAGUACUUGUGGAACCAGCACGGGGGCUGGAAUGGCCUUCUCAUAUCGGGCCCAUGGACACUGCUUGUUUCCCUGAUUGCCUAAGUACAUGCUGUGGCUAGUAAGUCUGAGAUAAUCACACGGACUUGUCCUGUGUUUGUCACAUUCUGGCAUAUGGGUGAUCUCGUCCAACCAGAGUCAACAUGGACUCCUCCAGCAUUGUAUUUCUUUCAGGUUGUUGAUGUGGAGCAGAUGAGGAGGAGGUACCUUUCGAGCAGAGGAUUUCUAUAGAAGUGUCAGAGGUUUCACACUGAAUCAAGGCCUUAUGAGUGUGGUGAAUGUGGGAAAUCUUUUAGCCAAAGUUCGUGCUCUUCCAACAUCAAGAAUUCACACUGGAGUAUGGGGAAUCUGGGAGUGUCACCCUUGACCCGCAAGGACGACAAGAAGCCCCGGUUCAGAUGUAUCUUCUCUCUAUUUCCAUUCAGCAUGAAUAGUUCAUCAUUUUUAUAUCAUUGAGAAGUAUGAUUUUCUAUGAACUACCGCUGCUUGUAUAUUCAUUCAUCUGUUUAUGGAUACCGACUGCUUUCCGGUACUGGUUGUUACAAAUAAAAUCACUACAGACGUUUUAAUACAA